RNAcentral lists this ribosomal RNA (1451 nucleotides) under uncultured organism. RNAcentral describes it as "SSU rRNA". It matches the Rfam family "Bacterial small subunit ribosomal RNA". The record is from RNAcentral.
GCGGCAGGCCUAACACAUGCAAGUCGAGCGGUAGCACAGAGAGCUUGCUCUCGGGUGACGAGCGGCGGACGGGUGAGUAAUGUCUGGGAAACUGCCUGAUGGAGGGGGAUAACUACUGGAAACGGUAGCUAAUACCGCAUAACGUCGCAAGACCAAAGUGGGGGACCUUCGGGCCUCAUGCCAUCAGAUGUGCCCAGAUGGGAUUAGCUAGUAGGUGGGGUAACGGCUCACCUAGGCGACGAUCCCUAGCUGGUCUGAGAGGAUGACCAGCCACACUGGAACUGAGACACGGUCCAGACUCCUACGGGAGGCAGCAGUGGGGAAUAUUGCACAAUGGGCGCAAGCCUGAUGCAGCCAUGCCGCGUGUGUGAAGAAGGCCUUCGGGUUGUAAAGCACUUUCAGCGGGGAGGAAGGCGUUAAGGUUAAUAACCUUGGCGAUUGACGUUACCCGCAGAAGAAGCACCGGCUAACUCCGUGCCAGCAGCCGCGGUAAUACGGAGGGUGCAAGCGUUAAUCGGAAUUACUGGGCGUAAAGCGCACGCAGGCGGUCUGUCAAGUCGGAUGUGAAAUCCCCGGGCUCAACCUGGGAACUGCAUUCGAAACUGGCAGGCUAGAGUCUUGUAGAGGGGGGUAGAAUUCCAGGUGUAGCGGUGAAAUGCGUAGAGAUCUGGAGGAAUACCGGUGGCGAAGGCGGCCCCCUGGACAAAGACUGACGCUCAGGUGCGGAAGCGUGGGGAGCAAACAGGAUUAGAUACCCUGGUAGUCCACGCCGUAAACGAUGUCGAUUUGGAGGUUGUGCCCUUGAGGCGUGGCUUCCGGAGCUAACGCGUUAAAUCGACCGCCUGGGGAGUACGGCCGCAAGGUUAAAACUCAAAUGAAUUGACGGGGGCCCGCACAAGCGGUGGAGCAUGUGGUUUAAUUCGAUGCAACGCGAAGAACCUUACCUGGUCUUGACAUCCACAGAACUUUCCAGAGAUGGAUUGGUGCCUUCGGGAACUGUGAGACAGGUGCUGCAUGGCUGUCGUCAGCUCGUGUUGUGAAAUGUUGGGUUAAGUCCCGCAACGAGCGCAACCCUUAUCCUUUGUUGCCAGCGGUCCGGCCGGGAACUCAAAGGAGACUGCCAGUGAUAAACUGGAGGAAGGUGGGGAUGACGUCAAGUCAUCAUGGCCCUUACGACCAGGGCUACACACGUGCUACAAUGGCAUAUACAAAGAGAAGCGACCUCGCGAGAGCAAGCGGACCUCAUAAAGUAUGUCGUAGUCCGGAUUGGAGUCUGCAACUCGACUCCAUGAAGUCGGAAUCGCUAGUAAUCGUAGAUCAGAAUGCUACGGUGAAUACGUUCCCGGGCCUUGUACACACCGCCCGUCACACCAUGGGAGUGGGUUGCAAAAGAAGUAGGUAGCUUAACCUUCGGGAGGGCGCUUACCACUUUGUGAUUCAUGACUGGGGUG